AAAUUACCCACUCCCGGCACGGGGAGGUAGUGACGAAAAAUAACAAUACGGGACUCUUUUGAGACCCCGUAAUUGGAAUGAGUACACUCUAAAUCCUUUAACGAGGAUCUAUUGGAGGGCAAGUCUGGUGCCAGCAGCCGCGGUAAUUCCAGCUCCAAUAGCGUAUAUUAAAGUUGUUGCGGUUAAAAAGCUCGUAGUUGGAUCUCAGUUCCAGACGGGCGGUCCGCCUAACGGUGGUUACUGCCUGGCCUGAACAGCCAGCCGGUUUCCCUAGAUGAUCUUCACCGGUUGUCUUGGGUGACCGGCACGUUUACUUUGAAAAAAUUAGAGUGCUCAAAGCAGGCGUGUAGCCUGAAUAAUGGUGCAUGGAAUAAUGGAAUAGGACUUCGUUUCUAUUUUGUUGGUUUUCGGAACACGAGGUAAUGAUUAAGAGGGACAGACGGGGGCAUUCGUAUUGCGACGCUAGAGGUGAAAUUCUUGGACCGUCGCAAGACG
The sequence is a ribosomal RNA, 495 nucleotides long. It matches the Rfam family "Eukaryotic small subunit ribosomal RNA", at positions 438 to 937 of the family's 1831-position model.